CAAAAACAUGUCCUUUUGAUUAAGAUCUAAGGUCUUGCCUGCCCAAUGAUUAUUUAAAUGGCCGCAGUAUUUUGACUGUGCAAAGGUAGCAUAAUCAUUAGUUUCUUAAUUAGGAGCUAGAAUGAAUGGUUUAAUGAAAAAUUUUCUGUCUCGGUAAAAUUUUAUUAUAAUUUAAAUUUUAAGUUAAAAUGCUUAAAUAAAUUAUAAAGACGAGAAGACCCUAUAGAGUUUUAUAAUUUAUUAUAAAUGAAUUUAUUGGAUUAAAUUAAUAAUUUUUAAUUUAUUAUUUUGUUGGGGUGAUAUAAAAAUUUAAAAAACUUUUUAUUUAUUAAUACAUUGAUUUAUGAAUAAGUGAUCUUUGAUUUAGGGUUAUAAGAUUAAAUUACCUUAGGGAUAACAGCGUAAUUUUUUUUGAAAGUUCUUAUUGAUAAAAAAGUUUGCGACCUCGAUGUUGGAUUAAAAUUUAAUUUUGGUGUAGAAGCUAAAUAUUUAGGUCUGUUCGACCUUUAAAAUUUUACAUGAUCU
This 525-nucleotide ribosomal RNA is filed under the name Lorelus ocularis. Its description in RNAcentral is "partial 16S ribosomal RNA". It matches the Rfam family "Bacterial large subunit ribosomal RNA", at positions 1808 to 2606 of the family's 2925-position model. Lineage: Eukaryota; Metazoa; Arthropoda; Insecta; Coleoptera; Tenebrionidae. The record is from RNAcentral.